This 462-nucleotide ribosomal RNA is filed under the name uncultured bacterium. Its description in RNAcentral is "partial 16S ribosomal RNA". It matches the Rfam family "Bacterial small subunit ribosomal RNA", at positions 28 to 507 of the family's 1533-position model. The record is from RNAcentral.
GACGAACGCUGGCGGCGUGCUUAACACAUGCAAGUCGAGCGGAAAGGCCCUUCGGGGUACUCGAGCGGCGAACGGGUGAGUAACACGUGAGUAACCUGCCCCAGACUUUGGGAUAACCCUCGGAAACGGGGGCUAAUACCGGAUACGACACAGCUUCGCAUGGGGUCUGUGUGGAAAGAUUUUCGGUUUGGGAUGGGCUCGCGGCCUAUCAGCUUGUUGGUGGGGUGAUGGCCUACCAAGGCGACGACGGGUAGCCGGCCUGAGAGGGCGACCGGCCACACUGGGACUGAGACACGGCCCAGACUCCUACGGGAGGCAGCAGUGGGGAAUAUUGCACAAUGGGCGGAAGCCUGAUGCAGCGACGCCGCGUGAGGGAUGACGGCCUUCGGGUUGUAAACCUCUUUCAGCAGGGACGAAGCGUAAGUGACGGUACCUGCAGAAGAAGCGCCGGCCAACUACGUG